UACGUAGGUGGCAAGCGUUGUCCGGAUUUAUUGGGGUUAAAGGGUGCGUAGGCGGCUUAUUAAGUCAGUGGUGAAAUACUCUAGCUCAACUAGAGGGGUGCCAUUGAUACUGAUGAGCUUGAGUACAGAUGAGGUAGGCGGAAUUGACGGUGUAGCGGUGAAAUGCUUAGAUAUCGUCAAGAACACCUAUAGCGAAGGCAGCUUACUAGGCUGUAACUGACGCUGAGGCACGAAAGUGUGGGGAUCAAACAGG
This 253-nucleotide ribosomal RNA is filed under the name uncultured bacterium. RNAcentral's name for it is "partial 16S ribosomal RNA". It matches the Rfam family "Bacterial small subunit ribosomal RNA", at positions 524 to 776 of the family's 1533-position model. The record is from RNAcentral.